AGUGAAAUUGCUGGGUCAUAUGAUAACUCUGUGUUUCAUCUUUUGAGAAACUACCAGACUGUUUUCCAAAAUGCCUACACCAUUUUACAUUUCUACUACCAAA
RNAcentral lists this microRNA precursor (103 nucleotides) under Marmota monax (woodchuck). Lineage: Eukaryota; Metazoa; Chordata; Mammalia; Rodentia; Sciuridae. The record is from RNAcentral.